Long non-coding RNA from Ficedula albicollis (Collared flycatcher), 3300 nucleotides. NCBI's taxonomy places the organism in Eukaryota, Metazoa, Chordata, Aves, Passeriformes, Muscicapidae. The record is from Ensembl.
CUAAGGACAAUGCUAGAAUGCAAGUGAACAGAAUAUUUUUAUGUAGCAGAAUGAGAGUUGCUCCCAAUUUAAACCCAAUUUAAACCCUGUAUCAUGGUGACAGCUGCAUCACCUACGUGCUCUUGCCAUCCCCCAGCUGUAAUUACAGCAGAAACAUGGUGGGAACAUUCUCAGCAUCCUGAAUAUCUGUUUUCCAUGUUCCUCUGCAGUUUAACUGACAAAAUACCUGCAAGGAUGAAAUAUCCUUCAUCUCAACAAUACCUCUCACCUCCUUGGGUUUGCAGAUAAUCACUUGAUGCAAUCUUGCCCUUAAAAAUAAGGAUUGAAUAUUUUUGAAGAGGAAUUAAAUAACUGAAGGGAGGGCGGAAUGCACAGAGGAGCUCAGUUACCAAAGCUCUGCUGUUUUAUUAGCUAACAUCAGCAUAAAGUGCUCAGUGAAAUGGCAGCCCAUCCCAUCACUUUUAUUACCUUCCACAUGUGCUUUUUUACUGUCAUUAGCUUAGCUUUAAACAAUCCUUCCCAGCCUUUCCUGUGUCUUGAUCUUUGCUGUCCCCACUCCAGAAUUAAGUAACGAGGUUGUAACCAGGCAUUUUCCUCUCUGUGCAGGGCUCACUGGGUCCUUCCAGGACCUUCAGGCUCUCCAUGGGGUCUGUGCAGACUCCCUGCAAUCACUCAGGCUCUCACUGCAACAUCAAAGCUCUGCCUCACCUCCAGAUUCCUCCCAGUAAAUCUGUCCACCACAGCCUCAAAACAAUCUGCUCUAACCAAGGCUCUCACUGCAACAUCAAAACUCUGCCUGACCUCCAGAUUCCUCCCAGUAAAUCUGUCCACCACGGCCUCAAAACAGUCUGCGCUAACAGCCCAAGGCAGGAAAGGCAGAGCAGGGGAGGUGCAGGCUCUGUGCAGUCACAGAAUAAAUCCGCAGUGCCUGUGCAUCCCACUGCAGAUUUAAUCCCUCUGUAAGACCUACAUGGCUCACAGUCCAAGGGGAUAAGGCAGGUAAUGAAGGAGAAUUAUUUAUGUUUUAUGGAUUUAUAGAGAUGGCUGUGGGAGCUGGCUGCAGGGGACGCCAGUGUGUGAUCCUAGAGUGUGUUGGCCACUGAAAGAAACAGGUGACUCUAUGUUAAAUGUCAUUAUUUGAUGUAGUUCACACUUUUUUUGUCAUCUAUGGCUGAAACAAUGAGGAAAGGCAAAGGCUGAGAAAGGGUUAAGAGGGAAGGGGAAGCAGCACAAGCAGAUUUGAAAAAAUGAAUGACUCUAUCCAAGGCAAAGGCAGCCUGUUGAUAUAUCUCACCCAGAGGGGACUCAGAGAGUGACCUCAUGCUGCCUGUCAGACACAGCCCCAUCCCUCCCAUCCCACCUAAUGCUGCAGCCCAUCUGCCUGGGAGCCAGUCCCAGCUCCAGCACAGAGCCAGAGCAGUGCCUUCAUUCACAAGCUCUGUGUUUAUCACACAGCCUGCCCUGCUCUGGCCAUUUCCCAGUGAAUCUGGGGGCAGCAAACACUCGGAGUCCUGCCCUGCCACAGGGACAGGGUGCAGGAUGGCUGAGUGCUCAGGUGCCAGUUUAGGUCCUGCUUUAUGCAAAACCCCUUGAUUCAUCUCCAUCUCUCCAUCUCCAUCUUUCAUUUUAGAGACUGAGCCUGGAGACCUGGUGGUGGGGCUGGGUCAGACAGGUACCCAGCCACAGCCUGCCCUAAAGCCUACCCUAAGACCUGUCCUAAAGCCUGCCCCAAAGCCUGCCCCACUGCUUUCUCUGUCUUCUGCCAGGGAUUUCAAGGACAACCCCAAAAAUAAGACACCACUGACUAGAUCCUAGCAGUUUCUUUGGUGCCAGAGACCCAGAUUGCUGCUCAGAGACUCUGAGGGGUUGUGCCAGGAGUGAUCAAUCACAAACUAUCUGCUAAAGAUCAGACUUCCCUCUUCUUCUGUUUUUUAUCUACCAAGACCAGAUGGUUACAUGACCAAUUGUCCCAAGAGCUGUCCCACAAAGUUUGGAAGUUUCUUUGACCAACUCUGCUUACCUAGCAGAAUUACUACAACAAAACAAUAACAAUUAUUGAUUACUACAAGGAAAACCAGACUAUAAAAAGGGAGCUGCAAACCAAGUUGGAAGCGUUGGAGUGGGCUGUGACCCCUCACGUUUCCCCAGCGCUGAAGUUUGGAAGUUUCUUUGACCAACUCUGCUUACCUAGCAGAAUUACUACAACAAAACAAUAACAAUUAUUGAUUACUACAAGGAAAACCAGACUAUAAAAAGGGAGCUGCAAACCAAGUUGGAAGCGUUGGAGUGGGCUGUGACCCCUCACGUUUCCCCAGCGCUGCUUGUUCUGCCUGUAUACAAUAAACCGAUCUAAAUUUUGCUGAAUAUCGAGACUUUAUUUCUCAUUUAUAACAGAGGUGACCGCCCCAGUGCCGCUGUGGCCCAGCUGGCACAGUUUGCUGGUUGCUCCGAGCUGCGCUGCACAGCUUGGCUUGCAGAGAGGGUUUCACUGAGGGUUUUAUGGGGCUCCCUGGGGCAGCGGCAGCUCCCCUUCCCCCUGCCCCGUCACCCUGACGCUGAGCUGUUCUACAGUUCCUGCCCGAAGCAGUGUUUGGCUGUUGCCCGGUGACAGCUCAAACAGGCCUCACCUCGGCCUCCCUGCGGCCCCGCACUCCAGCCUGGAGCUGGGAGCAGAGCUGCUGCCAGCGCUAGGAAAUGAGACUUGCAGCUCCCCAGGACACCCCAGAGCUCUGGGGGACAUCCCCAGACUGAUCCCAGCCUGCUGGCAGGCUCCUGGCUCAGCACAAACAGAGCAUCCCCCAGCCCCCCAAAGCUGCCAGGCCACCAGGCAAAGGCAGCAGCACUGCCAGGGGCACCUGUGGGGUGGGGGCUCUGGGCAGGGACACUCUGGGAGUGAACAGCCCUGCAGGACCUGCUCAGAACCACAGCACCAGGACCCUGAGCACCAGAACCCUGAGGGACCAGAACCCUGAGGUACCAGGACCCUGAGGGACCAGAACCCUGAGCACCAGGACCCUGAGGGACCAGAACCCUGAGGGACCAGAACCCUGAGCACCAGGACCCUGAGGGACCAGAACCCUGAGGGACCAGGACCCUGAGCACCAGAACCCUGAGGGACCAGAACCCUGAGGUACCAGGACCCUGAGGGACCAGAGCCCUGAGCACCAGAACCCUGAGGUACCAGAACCCUGAGGGACCACGACCCUGAGGGACCAGGACCCUGAGGGACCAGGGGGGGGGGGGGGGGGGGGGGGGGGGGGGGGGGGGGGGGGGGGGGGGGGGGGGGGGGGGGGGGGGGGG